Long non-coding RNA from Microcebus murinus (gray mouse lemur), 1011 nucleotides. The record is from Ensembl. Lineage: Eukaryota; Metazoa; Chordata; Mammalia; Primates; Cheirogaleidae.
GGCUUUGCAGUGCUGGGUGGCCUGGCAGGGUCUGAGGUCCCCCCACACAGUGGAGAACCUAGGAAACUUAGCAUGCUCCUACCCUGGUUCCGGCUCUGCAUCUCUGCUUCUGUGCUCCAGUCUUUCCGUCGGUGCAUCCAAAUUGGCAUCCAGGAGUCAGGCCCCAUUGGAUCCAGAUGUUUUCUAGAGUCCGUGUGGCCACGCAACGUAGACAACUACAGAACCCAUCAGAGAACCACUCCUACCUCGCACUUCAGGGCAUCUACACGACGACAUGGCUCAGAACAGGCGCAAAACCCAUGAAGAAAGAGGACAAUCACUAUGGAUGCAAGGGACAGAAAAAACAGUUCUGAGAAUAUGGCUUCUUAAGGCAGUUCGUGCCGCUCCACAGGUCACAGAACGUGACCUGAGCUCUUCACCGUUGGCAUCCAAAGGUUUUCGUCGGGUCCUCAGGAGAAUGCCAUUGCACUGCUCUUUCAGCCAAACAGACCUACAGCAGUUUGUUUAUAUGCUCACCUCCUGAACACCAGAAAGAAUCGUGACCAAGAAGGUAAGGAUUUAUAGUCAUAGUUCCAAUUUAGGCUGAGUUUGAGUGGCUUAAUUUGCUUCAUUGAAAAAAAAGUCUUUUGCCGAGAUAUGAAGACUUUUGUAAGCAGAAACUGAAAAGGUCUCAUGGGGCUUUCAGUCUGUUGUUUUCCUUUGCCCUACUGGGGCUUUUCCUUAGGUUGUAAAUUCCAGCUUUCUCAUGUCAGAUUCCUCCUUUGUUGAGCUUUAAGGCAUUUCUGGAAUUACUCAGAAAAGGGACUUUGACAAUCCCCUGCCCUGUUCUUAGGUCAUAGAGCUGAUUUAUGGCUGGAGGAGGUUCUCUAAACAGUAGAUGAAAUAGGUGAAAUGUUAUCCAUUUAUUAAAGUGGGUUCAGGAGUUCCUCCUGCUGAUCAGGAGGGAGGUGUCCUAAAUAUAAUCAGCCCUCGAUGUAUCAACUUAUUGCUAUUUUGUGAGUUUUACUGCAG